CCAACGGCCCUUUUAAGGGCCACCACUGUUUUCAAAGAGCAAACAAU
Orchesella cincta is the source of this 47-nucleotide regulatory RNA element. It matches the Rfam family "Histone 3' UTR stem-loop". Rfam says of the family: The mRNAs of metazoan histone genes lack a poly-A tail. 3' end processing occurs at a site between a highly conserved stem-loop (modelled by this family) and a purine rich region around 20 nts downstream (the histone downstream element, or HDE). The record is from Rfam. Lineage: Eukaryota; Metazoa; Arthropoda; Collembola; Entomobryomorpha; Orchesellidae.